AGAGUUUGAUCCUGGCUCAGAUUGAACGCUGGCGGCAGGCCUAACACAUGCAAGUCGAACGGUAACAGGAAGCAGCUUGCUGCUUCGCUGACGAGUGGCGGACGGGUGAGUAAUGUCUGGGAAACUGCCUGAUGGAGGGGGAUAACUACUGGAAACGGUAGCUAAUACCGCAUAACGUCGCAAGACCAAAGAGGGGGACCUUAGGGCCUCUUGCCAUCGGAUGUGCCCAGAUGGGAUUAGCUAGUAGGUGGGGUAACGGCUCACCUAGGCGACGAUCCCUAGCUGGUCUGAGAAGAUGACCAGCCACACUGGAACUGAGACACGGUCCAGACUCCUACGGGAGGCAGCAGUGGGGAAUAUUGCACAAUGGGCGCAAGCCUGAUGCAGCCAUGCCGCGUGUAUGAAGAAGGCCUUCGGGUUGUAAAGUACUUUCAGCGGGGAGGAAGGGAGUAAAGUUAAUACCUUUGCUCAUUGACGUUACCCGCAGAAGAAGCACCGGCUAACUCCGUGCCAGCAGCCGCGGUAA
This 526-nucleotide ribosomal RNA is filed under the name uncultured bacterium. RNAcentral describes it as "bacterial SSU rRNA". It matches the Rfam family "Bacterial small subunit ribosomal RNA", at positions 8 to 523 of the family's 1533-position model. The record is from RNAcentral.